This 493-nucleotide ribosomal RNA is filed under the name Arcobacter venerupis. Its description in RNAcentral is "partial 23S ribosomal RNA". It matches the Rfam family "Bacterial large subunit ribosomal RNA", at positions 879 to 1372 of the family's 2925-position model. The record is from RNAcentral. Lineage: Bacteria; Pseudomonadati; Campylobacterota; Epsilonproteobacteria; Campylobacterales; Arcobacteraceae.
GCGGUGUGUCGUAGCAUAGAGGGGUAGAGCACUGAAUGGGCUAGGGCUGAUUACCGCGGUACCAAACCCUAUCAAACUAUGAAUACUAUAUGUGGAAACACAGGAGUCAGGCGAUGGGUGAUAAAAUCCACCGUCGGGAGGGGAACAACCCAGACUAACAGCUAAGGGCCCUAAGUCACAUCUAAGUGGAAAACGAUGUGGAGUUACUGUGACAACCAGGCGGUUGGCUUAGAAGCAGCCAUCAUUUAAAGAAAGCGUAGCAGCACACUGGUCUAGUGACUAGGCGAGGAAAGUUUAACGGAGCUAAGAAGUGCACAGAGGCUGUAGAUUCGAAUUACUACGAGUGGUAGGAGAGGGUUCUAUGCAGCGUUGAAGAUGUCCUGGAAACGAGCAUUGGAGCUGAUCGAAGUGAGCAUGCAGGCAUUAGUAGCGAUAAUUGGGGUGAGAAUUCUCACCGCCGAUAACUCAAGUUUUCCUACGCGAUGCUUGUCAU